RNAcentral lists this ribosomal RNA (604 nucleotides) under uncultured beta proteobacterium. Its description in RNAcentral is "bacterial SSU rRNA". It matches the Rfam family "Bacterial small subunit ribosomal RNA", at positions 18 to 617 of the family's 1533-position model. The record is from RNAcentral. Lineage: Bacteria; Pseudomonadati; Pseudomonadota; Betaproteobacteria.
CCUGGCUCAGAUUGAACGCUGGCGGAAUGCUUUACACAUGCAAGUCGAACGGCAGCACGGACUUCGGUCUGGUGGCGAGUGGCGAACGGGUGAGUAACAUAUCGGAACGUAUCCAAUAAUGGGGGAUAACUAAUCGAAAGGUUGGCUAAUACCGCAUACGCCCUGAGGGGGAAAGCUAGGGAUCUUCGGACCUGGCGUUAAUGGAGCGGCCGAUAUCUGAUUAGCUAGUUGGUGAGGUAAAGGCUCACCAAGGCGACGAUCAGUAGCUGGUCUGAGAGGACGACCAGCCACACUGGAACUGAGACACGGUCCAGACUCCUACGGGAGGCAGCAGUGGGGAAUUUUGGACAAUGGGCGCAAGCCUGAUCCAGCCAUUCCGCGUGAGUGAAGAAGGCCUUCGGGUUGUAAAGCUCUUUCGCAAGGGAAGAAAACUUAUCCUCUAACAUAGGAUGAGGUUGACGGUACCUUGAUAAGAAGCACCGGCUAACUACGUGCCAGCAGCCGCGGUAAUACGUAGGGUGCGAGCGUUAAUCGGAAUUACUGGGCGUAAAGCGUGCGCAGGCUGUUUUGUAAGUCAGAUGUGAAAUCCCUGGGCUCAACCUAG